UGGGGUAUAUUGCACAAUGGGCGCAAGCCUGAUGCAGCCAUGCCGCGUGUGUGAAGAAGGCCUUCGGGUUGUAAAGCACUUUCAGCGGGGAGGAAGGCGAUAAGGUUAAUAACCUCAUCGUUUGACUUUCCCUGCAGAAGAAGCACCGGCCAACUCCGUGCCAGCAGCCGCGGUAAUACGGAGGGUGCAAGCGUUAAUCGGAAUUACUGGGCGUAAAGCGCACGCAGGCGGUCUGUCAAGUCGGAUGUGAGAUCCCCGGGCUCAACCUGGGAAAUGGAUUCGAAACAGGCAGGCUAGAGUCUUGUAGAGGGGGGUAGAAUUCCAGGUGUGGCGCUGAAAUGCGUAGAGAUAUGGGGGAAUACCGGUAGCGGAGGCGACCCCCUGGACAAAGACUGACACUCAGAUGCGAAAGCGUGGGGAGCAAACAGG
This 429-nucleotide ribosomal RNA is filed under the name Chloroflexota bacterium. Its description in RNAcentral is "Chloroflexi bacterium partial 16S ribosomal RNA". It matches the Rfam family "Bacterial small subunit ribosomal RNA", at positions 355 to 776 of the family's 1533-position model. The record is from RNAcentral. Lineage: Bacteria; Bacillati; Chloroflexota.